AAAAAAGGCUUCUGUCGUGAGUGGCACACGUAGGGUGCCUCACUUGCUCUUUGUGCAGAAUUGAUAUCAAAGAGAUUUCAGAAGCAUAAUUUUUGCUGAUUGGGCAGCUGGUGUUCGUUGAUCCCAGCACCCUU
This 134-nucleotide small nuclear RNA is filed under the name Dasypus novemcinctus (nine-banded armadillo). Its description in RNAcentral is "U11 spliceosomal RNA (ENSDNOG00000030418.2)". It matches the Rfam family "U11 spliceosomal RNA". The record is from RNAcentral. Lineage: Eukaryota; Metazoa; Chordata; Mammalia; Cingulata; Dasypodidae.